UGUCAACGGUGACCACCGUUGAGGUCUAAUAGUUCAACUGCCCUGCCAGACGACAAUUUAUGUAUCAAUUGUGUUGCAAUAAAAAAGAUAUUGCAACAGUGUUUUGCUGACUUUCAUUAUUUUGGCAUUUCUAUUUCAGUGUAACUUUUGCUAUGGUAUUUCAUUUGAAAUUUUUAGUAAUUUAAGAUGGAAAUUAUCACGAAUAAUAAUUCUGAUAAACAUGUUUCUCCGAUAGAAAUUUGGAAUGGGAGAAAAAGCGCUGAUCAGCUUUCCAUUGAUUAUGAAGCUACAGAAGUUUUCCUCAAUCUUUUGGAAGAAAAUUGGGAGACCCUGUGUGAUACCAAAACAGGAAAGAAAAUAAUUUGGAAUACUAUUGCAAAUGGGUUAGAGGAAGCUGGUUUUGCAGUUCGUGGUUCAGAAAAGGCCAAACAUGCAAGAACAAGUGGGAGAAUCUACGUAAAGAAUAUAGGACAUUCCUUUCAAAAUACCAAACUGGGAGCGGUGCAUCAGCUACAAAGAAGAAACCAAAAUUCUUCAAUGAAAUUGAGAAAAUUAUUGGUAGCAACAGCCAUUCUUACAAGCCACCAUUUGUGAGUGAUUCCCUUGAAAGGACACAAAACCCAGCGAAGUUUCAAGUGAAAAAUAAUG
Molecule: long non-coding RNA, 648 nt
Organism: Daphnia pulicaria
Lineage: Eukaryota; Metazoa; Arthropoda; Branchiopoda; Diplostraca; Daphniidae
Exons: 3
Source: RefSeq, a predicted model, not a curated record